This 293-nucleotide long non-coding RNA is filed under the name Rattus norvegicus (Norway rat). Its description in RNAcentral is "long non-coding RNA NONRATT014124". The record is from RNAcentral. Lineage: Eukaryota; Metazoa; Chordata; Mammalia; Rodentia; Muridae.
GCAGUGUGUGCACGGGUGAAGGUGUUGUGGUUGACUGUGUGCUUAGGAAAUAAGAUUAUUAAUGGGAUAGUGUGUGUCUGUGUCAUGCCGGGUGGCUUUUAGGACUUUGUCUGAUGACUUGAGACUAAUUUUGGUUUGGCAAGUGCGGCUGAGAGAGGUGGGGGAUGGGUGGGAAGGAAAUGGGGGAACCCAAGUAUGAUGGGGGUACUUUUUCAGCCCCCAGUUAGCCCAAGAAGUGGCUUCUGCAGCCCCCAGCCCCAGCAUGCAUGCUCUCCGGGGCGAGGUCCCCGGGA